UACGGAGGGUGCAAGCGUUGUCCGGAUUUAUUGGGUUUAAAGGGUGCGUAGGUGGCUUUUUAAGUCUGGCGGUGAAAUGCCGGGGCUCAACCCCGUUGCAUGCCGCGGAUACUGGGAGGCUGGAGACGAGUAGAGGCAAGCGGAAUUCCGGGUGUAGCGGUGGAAUGCGUAGAGAUCCGGAAGAACACCGGAGGCGAAGGCGGCUUGCUGGGCUUGGUCUGACGCUGAGGCGCGAAAGCGUGGGGAGCGAACAGG
Molecule: ribosomal RNA, 255 nt
Filed under: uncultured bacterium
Lineage: Bacteria
Description: partial 16S ribosomal RNA
Rfam family: Bacterial small subunit ribosomal RNA
Source: RNAcentral